This 563-nucleotide ribosomal RNA is filed under the name Lecithodendrium linstowi. RNAcentral describes it as "partial 28S ribosomal RNA". Lineage: Eukaryota; Metazoa; Platyhelminthes; Trematoda; Plagiorchiida; Lecithodendriidae. The record is from RNAcentral.
GGGAGUUACAGUGCGUGAACCGAUCAGAGGUAAGCGGGUGGAGUUGAACUGCAAGCUCUGAGAAUUCAGCUGGUGAGUGUGGUUUGAGCUUGGUCAAGUCAGUUGGACUCUGUGGUCCGCGAGGCACUUAGCAAGUGUUGUGGUCCAUGGAUGUUCUUCGGGCUGACUCGCCGGUGCACUUUCUCAGAGUGGUCACCACGACCGGCAUGGCUGUCUGGCUGGUGGGGUUAAACCGGUUUUGCAAGGUCCUUGUGGCUCUGCUUGAUCGGGAUGGCAGGUAGCUCAUUGGCUUGCUUGCAGGUCGCUGAGAGCGUGGUCUUUAAGUGUAAUCAGCUGACCACAUCGGUUCAGAGCGGUAUGACGGAGACGGCGUGCAUAGCUCGUGCGUGCGUACCUGGUUGGCGUGUACGUGCCUGUUUGUUAUGUCGCCAGUUCAUUCAGGACUGAUACUGCUUCGUAUUCGUUCCGCUGGCUGUUGCGUGCGUGUACUAUAUGGUGCCGAUAGUCUGAUGGUGUAGUACCCGUCAUGCACCUGGACACCAUCGAUGAAACCGGGACCAAGA